RNAcentral lists this ribosomal RNA (428 nucleotides) under uncultured Chlamydiae bacterium. Its description in RNAcentral is "bacterial SSU rRNA". It matches the Rfam family "Bacterial small subunit ribosomal RNA", at positions 958 to 1385 of the family's 1533-position model. Lineage: Bacteria; Pseudomonadati; Chlamydiota; Chlamydiia. The record is from RNAcentral.
AACGCGAAGAACCUUACCCAGGUUUGAAAUACAGAGGACAGCUCCAGAGAUGGAGUCUCCCGCAAGGGUCUUUGUACAGGUGCUGCAUGGCUGUCGUCAGCUCGUGCCGUGAGGUGUUGGGUUAAGUCCCGCAACGAGCGCAACCCUUAUCAUUAGUUGCCAACACGCGAGGUGGGAACUCUAAUGAGACUGCCCGGGUUAACCGGGAGGAAGGUGAGGAUGACGUCAAGUCCGCAUGGCCUUUAUACCUGGGGCUACACACGUUCUACAAUGGUCGGUACAGAAGGCAGCAAGACCGCAAGGUGGAGCAAAAUCCCUAAAAACCGAUCUCAGUUCGGAUUGUAGUCUGCAACUCGGCUACAUGAAGUUGGAAUUGCUAGUAAUGACGUGUCAGCAAUAACGUCGUGAAUACGUUCCCGGGCCUUGUA